GUAUCUUAAUUGAAAUUUCAACUUUAGUUUCGACCUAAAUUUAGGCUAAAUGCCAAGAUACUAAA
RNAcentral lists this transfer RNA (65 nucleotides) under Trichuris sp. GHL-2013. RNAcentral describes it as "tRNA-Arg". The record is from RNAcentral. Lineage: Eukaryota; Metazoa; Nematoda; Enoplea; Trichinellida; Trichuridae.